RNAcentral lists this long non-coding RNA (7467 nucleotides) under Brassica napus (rape). RNAcentral's name for it is "long non-coding RNA (BNAP_LNC002158)". The record is from RNAcentral. Lineage: Eukaryota; Viridiplantae; Streptophyta; Magnoliopsida; Brassicales; Brassicaceae.
AAAUCGUUCAUUAAGCAACGUAUAAUGUAAAAUUAACCGGAACUGGUUCACAAAACCAGACCGAGCAGCAACAUAUAUAUAAAAAACAUAAAAAUGAGUUUUGUGCAAAGGUAAUCUUCUUAAAGGUCAGCUCUUCCAGGAUAGCGAGGGAAGGGAAUAACGUCUCUGAUGUUGUCCAUUCCUGUCGCAAACAGAACCAUACGCUCGAACCCAAGUCCGAACCCUGAAUGCUUCGCUGUUCCGUAACGUCUCAAGUCCAAGUACCACUCGUAUGGCUCCACUGGUAGUCCCAUCUCCUCAAUUCUGUUCAUACCAACAAAAAAAAAACACAAUCAAAGAAACAUCCAACAUUAAACAAAUUAAUUUCACUUUCACCAACCUUUCCAUGAUAACGUCAAUCCUUUCUUCCCUUUGGCUUCCACCAAUGAGUUCUCCAACCUAAUUAAAAAAGACGCCAUCAAUGUAUACUCUUCCAUGAUUAAAUGAUUCAACUUUACCUUUGGAACGAGGACAUCCAUGGCAGCAACGGUCUUCCCAUCAUCAUUAAGCCUCAUGUAGAAAGCCUUGAUUCCUUUCGGGUAGUUGUAAACAAUCAGAGGCUUCUGAAACACAACCUCUGUCAAGUACCUAUAAGAUAUGAGACAAGACAACAUUAGUAACGUUUUUUCUUGCAUUUUAAGUUGAAAAAUAGUUUUUUAACCUUUCGUGCUCAGAUGCUAAGUCGAUCCCCCACUCCACUGGGUUAACAAACUCCUUCCCUUUCCCCACAGCUUCCUCAAGCAGCUCUAUCGCUUUGGUGUACGUUAACCUACCAAACGGAGUCGACGCAACCAGCUUCAGCCUAUCGAUACACCGGCCAUUAGCUCCAUGUCAUCGUACCGCUUCUCGAGCAGCCACUUGCACAUGUACCUCACGUACGCCUCCGCGCAGUUCAUAUCGUCCUCUAGAUCGGCGAAAGCUAACUCAGGCUCCACCAUCCAGAACUCGGCGAGAUGUCUCGACGUGUGAGAGUUCUCCGCUCGAAAAGUAGGACCGAACGUGUACACGUCGCUCAGACCGCAAGCGUAGGUUUCCACUUGUAAUUGACCUGAGACCGUCAAGAAAGCUUGACGGCCGAAGAAAUCUUGAGUAUAAUCAAUCUUUCCAUCGAGUUUAGGCAAUCCAGGUUUGAGCCUUGACCUCUCUUCGGUCCUGGAUAAGCUCGCUUUUGCUUCGUUGAGUUCAGCAACGGAGGCUGUGAUCGUUUCCUUGCUUGCUUUAGCGGAUUUGAGCUGCGCUACGGCUUCGCCUCUCGCCUUGACGAUGAGUCUGGCGGCUUCGACGUCGGCCUCGGUGGGUGGAGGGUUUUCGAUGAGGUCUCUCUCCAGCUUCUCGGUGUGGCUGAUGAGAGUUGUUACUUGGAACAUCUCUCCAGCUCCUUCGCAGUCGCUUGUUGUGAUGAUUGGGGUUUGAAUGUAGAGGAAACCUUCUUCGUCGAAGAAUGUGUGUGUGGCUAUAGCGAGUGCGUGUCGGAUUCUUGCAAUUGCUGAGAUCUGAAAAACACAGGGAAACAAAAAACAGGACAAUUCACUUAAACCUAACUUUCUGAUCAAGUAAUCAUUUUUCGAAUAAGGCUGUAAAUGUAACCAUCGUCACUCAACCGUAAAGACGAUUAAGAGAUCUGAAACCACAAGGAAGCAAAAACAGGAGACUCUACUUAAACCUAACUGAAAUCAAAUAACUUUCUGAUCAAGUAAUCAUUUUAGACUAAGGAUGCAAAGAAUCUGUAAUCAUCAAUGAAACUGAGGCCAACAAAGACAGACACUCCACUCAAACCUAAUUGAAAUCAAAUAACUUUCUGAUCAAGUAAUCAUUUUCCACUAAGGCUGCAAAGAAUAGGUAAUCAUGAGCGUCACUGAGGCUAGCAAAAACAGGACACACCGCUCAAACCUAAUACUAUAAUCAAAUAACUUUCUGAUCAAGUAAUAGUUUUUUUCGAUUAGGGCUGUAAAUGAAUCUCUAGUAAUCGUCACUGAGGCUACGAAAGCUAGAAGAAUCUCAAUAACUAAACCCUAAACCCAUGAACACUCCACUCAACUCAAACCUAACUUUCUGAUCAAGAAAUCAUUUUUUGAUUAGAUCUGUACAUAAUCUCAAUAACUAAACCAAUCCCAUAACAUAUUCGAACAAAGUAAGUGAUCUUUAUUACCGAAUUGGUCCUAGAACGAAGAUGAGGAAACUCUCUCAACCUCUCAAGAGUCAGCUUCGUCUUAGGAAUCGGGUAAGUAGCAGUAUCAACCGUCCCCACAUCAAUCACCUCCACAACACUAAGCUCAACCUUCUGCUUCGUCCCUUUACCUUCGGGAGGAAUCUUCAAGCACCCAUCGACGGUCACGCAAGUCCCCGUCGCAACCAGCUUGGUGAGAUCUGAAACCGAAGCGUCCACCAUAACCUGAAGAUUCGCAGGGCACGAUCCGUCGUUAACCUCGAGGAAAGCGAAAGCGCCUUUCCCUUGCUCCCUCCCCGUUUUGACCCACCCGCUGAUUCGGACCUUUUGACCCGCGAGUCCGGCUCCGCCGUCGGGUCGGCCCAGAAUCGAGCGGAUGCGGACUCGGUCUGAGAACCGCGCUUUUUGCACUGUUGAAGAUGAGAUUCCAUCGCUGGAUAUGGAUACGGCGGGUACUUGAUGUGCCGGUGGUGGAACCUCGUCGGCCAUGAGUUUGGGGGCGCUGGAGACAGAACCCUAGAACAGCUAAGCAAGAACAUAACGUGAAGGGGUAUGAUUGGAAAUUAACACCCCGCGGAUUCUAGUGGUUGUGGUUUGUAAUUUCGUAUCAUAAGAUUCUUAAACAAUUAGUUUACUAAUCUUUCCACCUCCAUAUAAAAUAUUCGUAAGAUAAUCAAAUUACUAUAGCUGGUUAAUGUUUCGUUUUUUUUUAAUAAAUUCUUGUAUUUGUUUAUGAUUUGUAUAUUAUAUAAAUAAAUAAAAUAUGAUGUUGAGUUCUAUUAUAUUAUCUUCGGUGUUCAAAAAAGAAGAAGAUAAUAUGAUUUCAAAUAUGAUAGUUAGGUCGGUAACAUUGUAGAACAAUUGUUUAAAAUAUUUUAAGUUGGUUAGCAAUUUUCACACCUGCACAAAAAAAAAAUGAAGAGAAUCAAACAACUCGAAUAAACAAAAGACUCACCCAAUAUCUAACGUACCUGGCCAUCGUGACCACGUAACGUUGUAUUCAAUUAUGAUGCAUCUUAUUUUUUUCCCUCAGGAUAAUAAAAUUUAAGAAGUUUCAAGGUGUAUUGGGACGUCGUCAAAAGUCAACCACAUGCCUCCAUAGGACUUCCAAAAUAACAGAAUAAUUUCCCAGGCAUCACGGUCAUCGUAUCAGUAAGAGAACGAUAUUAAUUCUCCCUUAUCAUUUAUUAGAAACAUUUUUGUUGUCAUCUUCUUCUUGACUUUUCCAACCAAAAUACAUCCUCCCGUCUGUUCUUUUUUUUUCUGGUCAACACACUCUUGAUCAUUUAUGGGUGAAACAAGAUCCAUGAUCACGUUCUUCUUGUUGGUGACCUUCCUACAGAUCAUCUUCCUAGCUCACGGAGCAGCAGGAGAGACGACCACAGAGUUCAUUUUUCAAGGCUUUAAAGUAAACCAAUCAAAGCUUCAAUUAGAAGAAGAUGCAACCAUCACGCCCAACGGACUACUAAGGCUAACCAAUCGAAACUCAGACCGCGCGGGAACGGCUUUUUACAACAAACCGGUUAGACUGCUCGACAAUAACUCCACGGUUCGUUCUUUUAGCACUUCCUUCAUCUUUGUCAUCAUCCCUUCAAGCUCAAACAACGGAGGUUUCGGGUUUACAUUCACACUAUCCCCAACCCCAAACCGUCCAGACGCGGAGACCGCGCAGUACUUGGGUCUUCUCAACGAAGACGACGACGGUGAUCCGGAUAAUCACGUAUUCGCAGUGGAGUUCGACACGGUUCAAGGAUACAAAGACAGCACAGAUCGAAUAGGCAACCACAUCGGUCUAAAUUUCAACAGUCUCUCUUCACAAAUUGUGGGCUUUACUGCUAUUUAUAAGUUCUAUCGUUACCCCGACAGGUUAAGGAUGCGACUCAGCCAGGUAUAAAAAUAUAUACCUCAAUGAUCUCAGUUCUUUUUGCAUUCUUUUGAGUUGACUUGUUGCGCUGAUUCUUCGUUUUGAUUCCAGAUCCUGGUCCUGCCUUCCUUCCAAGGAAAAGGAUUUGGAAGCUACCUCAUGGAGAUUGUAAACAAAAUGGCCGUAUCAGAAAACGUUUACGAUCUAACAGUGGAAGAGCCAUCCGAAAAGUUCCAGCACAUCCGCACUUGCAUAGACAUAAACCGCUUGCUCGCUUUCGAUCCAAUCAAACCGGCCAUCGAUUCAGCUGUUGAGACUCUCACAAAAGGAAAGCUAUCGAAGAAAGCUCAGAUACCUCGCUUCACUCCACCUUCGGAUGCCGUCGAGAAGGUCCGUGAAGCUCUGAAGAUCAACAAGAAACAGUUCCUCAAAUGCUGGGAGAUCUUGAUAUAUCUCGCGCUUGAUCCUAUCGACAAAUACAUGGAGGAUUACGCAUGUGUCAUCACGAACCAUGUGAGAAUCGAUAUUCUUGGAAAAGAUAUAGAGGCUCCAAAGAAGCAGGUGGUGGAUGUUCCAACGACGUUCGAAGCUGAAGCAUCGUUUGUGGUUUUCAAGUGUGUGAAUGGAGAAGAAGCUAAUAACAGCAAUGUUCAAGUGGAUGAAAACAAACCGGAUCAAGAGCAGCAGCUGAAGCAAUUGGUUGAAGAAAGGAUUCGUGAGAUCAAGUUGGUUGCUGAGAAAGUCUCUAGAAAAUGAGAAUCUGAGUUGAAUAAAAACUUUGAGAGAGAUAUUUAUCAGAAGCUUUUUUGUUGAGUGUUCAAACUCUGUGGUCUUUAAAAAGACAAAUCUGUUUGUAUUCUCUUUGUACCGGUUUGUUACGGAGGUUUGAGUAAACAGUGUAGUUCCGGUUUAGCGGUUUCGUUCGGUUAUGCAACUAUUAGCACAAUUUACAUUCAUACCCGUAGUAAAUGUUUGAGGGCAAUUUCUUAAGUUUUCCUGUAGUGUAGCUGUUGAGUUACGUGCUGGGCCUUUAAUGGGCUCAAAACUUCUAAGGGCGUGAGAGGUUAAUGCUACAUGCUAACUAUAAUGGCACACACACUCAGCCCACUAAAGCCCAUAUAAAUCAUCUAGGUUUAGUUCAGUGUAGCAUAUAAAAUGCUUACUUCUCCCCCUUCUACGCCUUUCUGUCUGUCGACGUUCUUCAAGCCGCAAAGGUACUCUCUCUCGAGCUCAAUUCUUAGUUCUAUGAUCGUUAUAAUCUAGCAGUUUACAGAUCUGUUUAGUUUCCCGAUAAGUGAAUCUACUUAUAAGUGGUAUUUGAUAGGUAAGAGUUUGAAGAAGUACAAACACAGACGAAAGAGAAAAUGUCUGAGAAAAAGGGAAGGAAAGAGGAAGUGGUGACCAGAGAGUACACCAUCAACCUCCACAGACGCCUUCAUAGCUGGUUAGCUUUCUUAAAAACCUUAAUCUCUUCUACGACUGUUCAUGUUGUAGCUGCCUGAUUGUUCAAGUACAUAGUGUUUGUAAUGUGAUCGUCUCUUCCUGCCAUAUUAUAGUUAGGAAUCUUCUUGGACUUCUUGUGGGUUAUUUAAUUAGUGUCUAAAGUUUUAUCCUUUUCUAAAUGUAAAUCAUAUGUUAGGCCUUAAAAAUAAAUCUUUUUCAAAUUCAUUACAUUCAUAAAAAAUGUUGUUUAUGAUAUGGUGAAAAUUAGUAGCAAGCUUCUUUGGCUUACUUUUCGAAACUCAGUUUUGCAAUUGAAUUCACAUUGAAAUGUUGUUUAUAAUAAUCAUAUUCCAUGUGUUCAAUCUUGUUUCAGCUCGCUAUUACUGUUUUGGUGUUUCUUGAAGCAUAAUAAGUAUAACAAACACUGAAUCUUGUUCUGGUUCGGAUUCAAUUUAACCAAAUAUGAUAGUGUUGAAAUGAAAAUGUGAAUUUCAUUUUAAGAUUAGGUUUUAUUUAUCUGCUGAUUGUUUUCUUGAGAUUUAAGGUUUCCUGCUAAUACAUAAUUAAUUUUGUAACAGCACCUUUAAGAAGAAGGCACCAAAGGCCAUUAAGGAGAUCAGGAAGUUUGCAGAGAAAGCCAUGGGGACAAAGGACGUUAGAGUAGACGUGAAGUUGAACAAGCAGAUAUGGAGCAGAGGUAUCAGAGGUCCCCCGAGGAGGAUUAGGGUCCGUGUUGCACGUAAGAGAAAUGACGAUGAAGACGCAAAGGAAGAGUUUUUCUCGCUUGUCACUGUUGCUGAAAUCCCUGCCGAAGGACUCAGUGGACUCGGCACUAAGGUCAUCGAUGAGGAGGAUUGAGAGGAGAGGACUAGUCUGUCACUUAGACAAGUUUUGGUGUUUUUCUUUUAAUUUCUCGUUUUUUUUCAUUCAACAAGUCACAGAUGCAGUUUAUUGGAAAGACUCAUUUUCUAGAUCUUACGAUGAAUCUUUUUAUCUUCUGGAUUUUUUUCUUGAAAUCUCACAUUUUUAAGACGGUCCUAGUGAUAAUCAAGGUGAACCUUAGUUGUCUAUGCAAUCAAUUGAACCUAACAUUUCGUUAAACAUAUAAAUGUCAAAAAAAAAAAACAUAUAAAUGUCAAAUGAAAUAAACUUUAUGUAAUUCAAGAUACGUUCAUAGACAAGUCCGAAUCAAAAAAAUGUUUUCACUUUUCCGUAAUAAAGGAAAACAGAAGGACUCGAAAAUCAGUUCCAUGUGAUGUCAGCGUACCUUUUGAACGAAGACAUCCAUCACGCCAGGCCAGCUCUAGUUCGUUUCGCGUAUAAAAAGAAAAAGACGUCGACAGCAGGAUUCGAACCUGCGCGGGCAAAGCCCAAUUGAUUUCGAGUCAAUCUCCUUAACCACUCGGACAUAUCGACUUUUUGUAUGAUUCUCUCCUUUGACUACCUAUGAUAGUAUUGACCACAUCUGACGCUUCAAAUUAUAGAAAACCAAAAUUCUAUAAAGGCCACAACAUUUGUUUCAACUUUUCUAAGUGAUAAUAUUAUGUAAUAUGUGUUUAUGUGGCUAUCGGUCAAAAAGCUUCUUCCGCCCCCCGGUCUUGAAAUAUAAUUAAGUACUUACAUUUUUCCGGUUCGUGAAACUUAAUUUCUCCAGAUAACCGAACAAAACCAGUUCCAUGUCAUCGUAAAAUAUCCAAAUCGUUCAUUAAGCAACGUAUAAUGUAAAAUUAACCGGAACUGGUUCACAAAACCAGACCGAGCAGCAACAUAUAUAUAAAAAACAUAAAAAUGAGUUUUGUGCAAAGGUAAUCUUCUUAAAGGUCAGCUCUUCCAGGAUAGCGAGGGAAGGGAAUAACGUCUCUGAUGUUGUCCAUUCCUGUCGCAAACAGAACCAUACGCUCGAACCCAAGUCCGAACCCUGAAUGCUUCGCUGUUCCGUAACGUCUCAAGUCCA